RNAcentral lists this ribosomal RNA (301 nucleotides) under uncultured bacterium. Its description in RNAcentral is "partial 16S ribosomal RNA". It matches the Rfam family "Bacterial small subunit ribosomal RNA", at positions 509 to 809 of the family's 1533-position model. The record is from RNAcentral.
CAGUAGCCGCGGUAAUACGGAGGGUGCAAGCGUUAAUCGGAAUUACUGGGCGUAAAGCGCACGCAGGCGGUCUGACAAGUCAGAUGUGAAAUCCCCGGGCUUAACCUGGGAACUGCAUUUGAAACUGUCAGGCUGGAGUCUUGUAGAGGGGGGUAGAAUUCCAGGUGUAGCGGUGAAAUGCGUAGAGAUCUGGAGGAAUACCGGUGGCGAAGGCGGCCCCCUGGACAAAGACUGACGCUCAGGUGCGAAAGCGUGGGGAGCAAACAGGAUUAGAUACCCCAGUAGUCCCUGUUUCUUAUAA